This 527-nucleotide ribosomal RNA is filed under the name uncultured bacterium. RNAcentral describes it as "bacterial SSU rRNA". It matches the Rfam family "Bacterial small subunit ribosomal RNA", at positions 524 to 1050 of the family's 1533-position model. The record is from RNAcentral.
AACGUAGGGGGCGAGCGUUGUCCGGAAUUACUGGGCGUAAAGGGCGUGUAGGCGGCUAGGUAAGUCAGGUGUGAAAACUUUUGGCUCAACCAGGAGACUGCACUUGAAACUGCGUAGCUUGAGGGUAGGAGAGGAAAGUGGAAUUCCUAGUGUAGCGGUGAAAUGCGUAGAUAUUAGGAGGAACACCAGUGGCGAAGGCGACUUUCUGGCCUAACCCUGACGCUGAGGCGCGAAAGCGUGGGGAGCAAACAGGAUUAGAUACCCUGGUAGUCCACGCCGUAAACGAUGGGUACUAGGUGUAGGAGGUAUCGACCCCUUCUGUGCCGCAGCAAACGCAUUAAGUACCCCGCCUGGGGAGUACGGCCGCAAGGCUGAAACUCAAAGGAAUUGACGGGGGCCCGCACAAGCGGUGGAGCAUGUGGUUUAAUUCGACGCAACGCGAAGAACCUUACCGGGUCUUGACAUCCCCUGAAAUAGGUGAAAGCCGAAAUAGACUUUGGUCACAGGGAGACAGGUGGUGCAUGGUU